Molecule: long non-coding RNA, 504 nt
Organism: Panthera uncia (snow leopard)
Lineage: Eukaryota; Metazoa; Chordata; Mammalia; Carnivora; Felidae
Exons: 4
Source: RefSeq, a predicted model, not a curated record
CAUUCCUCAGGGGCCACAUCUUUUCAUUUGACGUAAAAAGCUGGACAUUGAGUUGUAAACUCUCUCUGAGAGAAGCAGAAACUGAGGCUCACUGUAAGCAGGCAAGAGAGACUGCCUUGGGAAGUUGAUUCUUCACCUGUACACAGAAUAUCUGCACUUAUUUUCUGUGUUGCAAUGUUCUCCUAGGAAGUACUUGGGGAUCCAUUGAUAAGAACACUGAAACACAGAAGGUUAAACAACUUCUCUAAUAUUCAGACCACCUGUUUCUACUGCUCUGCUAAGCUGCUGUAUGAUAAGCCAUAGUCAUUCUGGUGUUAUCCUCCAAUGGUGAUGAGCCUGUAGGGCCUCACAUGACCUGAUUCCUGCCUACCACUUUGAUUCCAUCAAGAACCACUCUCCACUUCCCAAGUGCCAGCAUAUAGUUUUCUUCCUCCUCAGAUAACAUCCCUGGCUGUUUCCUGCCUUAGGAUCCUUAUAAUACUGACUCAUUGUAGUACUUAUAGU